Non-coding RNA from Triticum aestivum (bread wheat), 90 nucleotides. NCBI's taxonomy places the organism in Eukaryota, Viridiplantae, Streptophyta, Magnoliopsida, Poales, Poaceae. The record is from Rfam.
UGUCCGGUAUUGAAAAACCUAUUCAUCAUACCAUCUUUCGGGACUGAUUGGUUGAUGUGCUCCCAUGCUCAUUCUGCAAUUCUGAGGCCA